AUGAACGCUGGCGGCGUGCCUAAUACCUGCAAGUCGAACGAAACUUCUUUAUCACCGAGUGCUUGCACUCACCGAUAAAGAGUUGAGUGGCGAACGGGUGAGUAACACGUGGGCAACCUGCCCAAAAGAGGGGGAUAACACUUGGAAACAGGUGCUAAUACCGCAUAACCAUAGUUACCGCAUGGUAACUAUGUAAAAGGUGGCUAUACUACCGCUUUUGGAUGGGCCCGCGGCGCAUUAGCUAGUUGGUAGGGUAAAGGCUUACCAAGGCAAUGAUGCGUAGCCGAAUUGAGAGGUUGAUCGGCCACAUUGGGACUGAGACACGGCGCAAACUCCUACGGGAGGCAGCAGUAGGGAAUCUUCCACAAUGGGCGAAAGCCUGAUGGAGCAACGCCGCGUGGGUGAAGAAGGUCUUCGGAUCGUAAAACCCUGUUGUUAGAGAAGAAAGUGCGUGAGAGUAACUGUUCACGUUUCGACGGUAUCUAACCAGAAAGCCACUGCUAACUACGUG
This 511-nucleotide ribosomal RNA is filed under the name uncultured bacterium. RNAcentral's name for it is "partial 16S ribosomal RNA". It matches the Rfam family "Bacterial small subunit ribosomal RNA", at positions 29 to 507 of the family's 1533-position model. The record is from RNAcentral.